RNAcentral lists this non-coding RNA (950 nucleotides) under Thelazia callipaeda (thelaziosis nematode). RNAcentral's name for it is "Eukaryotic small subunit ribosomal RNA". It matches the Rfam family "Eukaryotic small subunit ribosomal RNA", at positions 1 to 902 of the family's 1831-position model. Lineage: Eukaryota; Metazoa; Nematoda; Chromadorea; Rhabditida; Thelaziidae. The record is from Rfam by way of RNAcentral.
UACCCGAUCGACUCUGUCCGCGGCUAUAUGCUUGUCUCAAAAGCUAAGCCAUGCAUAUCUAAUCUCAAAUAACCUAUAAUGCUGGAACCGCGAACUGUUCAUUAUAACAGCUAUAAUGUGCUUGAUGUUGAUUAGUCUAACGCGGGUAGGUAACUGACAGUUCUCGAGCUAGUUAAUGCACCAGAGACCAAACUAAAAGGAUAAUAGCAUCUAUUAGAAUGGAGAAACCAAUGGGGUUUGUAAAAGAAUUCAUGAAGUAAUUGGUGAAUCUGAGUAGCUAUAGAUGAUAGCAUAAUCUUGUACCGAUACCGUAUUUCACGUGUUGCUUUAUCAACUUUUCGUGAUAGUCUAUGUGGCCUACCAUGGUUGUAAAGGAUGAUGGAGGGUGUUCGACUCCGGAGAAGCAGCCUGAGAAAUGGCUAUCACAUCAAAACAUACAGCAGAGAUCUAAAUUACCAACUCUCGGCAUGAGGAAGAAAAGACAAAAUGACGAAACCGUUCCCUUUGACGCCGGUUAUCGGAAUGAGUGCAUUUAAACCUGUUAACGGGUAUCUAUAAGAGGAUAAGUCUGGUACCAUCAAUUCUAGAUCUCAAAGUGCUGUGUAUCUUCAUUGCUGUGGUUAAAAAGCUUGUAGUCGGACCUGCGUCUUAGGACUUGUUCCUUUCGAUUGAAUCUGAUCUGGGAACUUUGGCUAACACUUAAUUAGUUUUGUUAUGUCCUUUGUUUUAUUUCUGAUGGCCUCGGAUUUAAAACAUCGACAGUUCUGAAUUCGAAGCAAAGUGAAUUGAGUUAAUUCUUAGUUAUCAAAAAAUAGAUAUAAAGAGAGUACAAAAUUUUCGAGCUGAAGUUUAGAGUGGAAUUGAAAUUUGAUAUUCCUUUAGCACAUUCCAUUAUUUGGUAUGUUAGGAUAACAAAAUGAAAGGAUACAUUCAUAUUGGAAAAAUCAUGU